UGUGUGUGCGUGUGCAUGUUAUAGUACUGACUGUGUUGUCCUGUUGUGGAUCUAUGGCAGUGUCGAGGCUGGUAGCGUUGAACAAGGAGACUGUGGGAGUGGUCAGCUUUCUGGUGAUCUACCCCCUCUACCUGCCACUCUUUAUUCUCUUCCGGAUGAGCCAUAGCAAGUGUGACAGUAGAGCAGGUGUCCUCCCAGGUGGAUUAAGAGUCAGGGGAGAUCGAUUACUUCCUGGAUAAAUCCAUGGCAGGAAGCUCCUUCCUCAUCUACAAAGGGAUUCCUGGAGAGGUACGUGUGUGUAAUGUACACACACUUUUCCUCUCUCUAAUAGUUGUCCUCUGUUUUCUUUUUUCCUCUGUUUCUGGCUGUUCAAAAUGUGUUUUCAGGUUUAAGCAGAGUUCAUGCAGAUAACUAACUUGCCUCUGCAAACAAAGCUCAUGGCACAACGGGACCAGUAUUCGGAUAACCUGAGGAAGGCAGUCCGCACCAAAGGAGGAGUUGCAUGAAUGAAGAUCGGCAACAUUACGGCAGCCACAGCUGAGAACUGCGACAUGGCUGAGUCUGAGAAGGAGAUAGCGUAGACUGUCAUGGGGAUUUACGUCAUCCGAGGAAGAUCCAGAUGACGUCAGAAUUGUGAUUGAGGGUGUGAGGUUCUCAUCGACCUGGGAAGCGGAGCCUUAGGAUGUGCCAUGUUGUUUGGUUGAUCUAUGCACUCAACCUGAGCUACACACAGCACCUCAAAUGCACUUUGAUGUGUUCCAGAAGAUUCUAAUUAACUUGGAUGGAAACAAGCUUUCACCAAACAUCCAACCACUCAAGACCAACAUUUUUCAGUGAUCAACUAAAAGGAGAAAGUGACAGUUUGCAGUCAACUGACAGAGUUUGCCCUUGUCUUUAGGGCAAAUGUCUGAACAGAGAUGUUUAUUUAACCAUUAUUUCACUCUUUUAUGGCAGCUUUGGAGCAGUGGCUUCUUCCUUGCUGAGCAGCCUUUCAGGUUAGGUCGACAUAGGACUUGUUUUACUGUGGAUAUAGAUACUUUUGUACCUGUUUCCUCCAGCAUCUUUUUUUACCUUUAUUUAACUAGGCAAGUCAGUUAAGAACAAAUUGUUAUUUUCAAUGAUGGCCUAGGAACAGUGGGUUAACUGCCUUGUUCAGUGGCAGAACGACAGAUUUGUACCUUGUCAGCUCGGUGAUUCGAUCUUGCCACCUUUCAACUACUAGUCAAACGCUUGAACCACUAGGCUAUGCUGCCACCCCAAGGUCCUUCGCUGUUGUUCUGGGAUUGAUUUCCACUUUUCACACCAAAGUGCCUUCAUCUCUAGGAGACAGAACAUGUCUCCUUCCUGAGCGGUAU
Non-coding RNA from Salmo salar (Atlantic salmon), 1355 nucleotides. NCBI's taxonomy places the organism in Eukaryota, Metazoa, Chordata, Actinopteri, Salmoniformes, Salmonidae. The record is from RefSeq and is a predicted model, not a curated record.